UACAGAGGUCUCAAGCGUUGUUCGGAUUCAUUGGGCGUAAAGGGUGCGUAGGCGGCGCGGUAAGUCGGGUGUGAAAUCUUGGAGCUUAACUCCGAAACUGCAUUCGAUACUGCCGUGCUUGAGGACUGGAGAGGAGACUGGAAUUUACGGUGUAGCGGUGAAAUGCGUAGAUAUGCGGAGGAACACCGAUGGCGAAGGCAAUCCCCUGGACCUGUACUGACGCUCAUGCACGAAAGCGUGGGGAGCAAACAGG
RNAcentral lists this ribosomal RNA (253 nucleotides) under uncultured prokaryote. Its description in RNAcentral is "partial 16S ribosomal RNA". It matches the Rfam family "Bacterial small subunit ribosomal RNA", at positions 524 to 776 of the family's 1533-position model. The record is from RNAcentral.